RNAcentral lists this unclassified non-coding RNA (379 nucleotides) under soil metagenome. Its description in RNAcentral is "partial contains 5.8S ribosomal RNA, internal transcribed spacer 2, and large subunit ribosomal RNA". The stretch from base 1 to 120 matches the Rfam family "5.8S ribosomal RNA", at positions 35 to 154 of the family's 154-position model. The record is from RNAcentral.
GAUGAAGAACGUAGCGAAAUGCGAUAAGUAAUGUGAAUUGCAGAAUUCAGUGAAUCAUCGAAUCUUUGAACGCACAUUGCGCCCGCCAGUAUUCUGGCGGGCAUGCCUGUUCGAGCGUCAUUUCAACCCUCAAGCCCCAGCGGCCUGGUGUUGGGGACCGGCGACCUCGCCCGAGCCCGCCCUCCGGGGCGCGUGCCCGGUGCGUCCGCCGCCCCCGAUAUGAAUUGGCGGCCUCGUCGCGGCCUCCUCUGCGUAGUAGCACAACCUCGCAAGCGGGAGCGCGACGCGGCCACUGCCGUAAAACGCCCAACUUUUUUAGAGUUGACCUCGGAUCAGGUAGGAAUACCCGCUGAACUUAAGCAUAUCAAUAAGCGGAGGA